This 390-nucleotide ribosomal RNA is filed under the name uncultured bacterium. RNAcentral's name for it is "bacterial SSU rRNA". It matches the Rfam family "Bacterial small subunit ribosomal RNA", at positions 28 to 419 of the family's 1533-position model. The record is from RNAcentral.
GACGAACGCUGGCGGCGUGCUUAACACAUGCAAGUCGAGCGGUAAGGCCCUUUCGGGGGUACACGAGCGGCGAACGGGUGAGUAACACGUGGGUGACCUGCCCUCAGCUCUGGGAUAAGCCUGGGAAACCGGGUCUAAUACUGGAUAUGACUCCAUGACGCAUGUUGUGGGGUGGAAAGCCUUGUGCGGCUGAGGAUGGGCCCGCGGCCUAUCAGCUUGUUGGUGGGGUGAUGGCCUACCAAGGCGACGACGGGUAGCCGGCCUGAGAGGCGACCGGCCACACUGGGACUGAGACACGGCCCAGACUCCUACGGGAGGCAGCAGUGGGGAAUCUUGCGCAAGUGGGCGAAAGCCUGACGCAGCGACGCCGCGUGAGGGAUGACGGCCUGG